Molecule: long non-coding RNA, 1129 nt
Organism: Pan paniscus (pygmy chimpanzee)
Lineage: Eukaryota; Metazoa; Chordata; Mammalia; Primates; Hominidae
Source: Ensembl
UGUCUUAGCUUGGGAUGCUAUAACGAAAUACUAUAGACUGUGUGGCUUAAACAACACAAAUUUAUUUCUCAGUUCUGGAAGCCAGGAAGUUCAAGAUCAAGAUGCCAAAACGUUUGAUUUCUGGUGAAGGCUCACUUCCUGAUUUGUAGACAACUGUCUUCUCACUGUAUUCUCACAUGGCAUAGAAAGCUGAGAGCUCUGAUCUCUUCCUCUUUUCAGAAGGACUCUAAUUUCAUCACAGCAGCUUUAUCCUCAUGGCUUUAUCUAUGCCUGAUAACCUCCAAAAACCCCUCCUGCAAAUACCAACACAUCAAGGGUUAGGACUUCAACAUACACAUGUUGACCAGAGAAACAAACAUUUAGCCUAUAACAAUGAUUUUGGUUUAUUUAUGGAGAAGGAAGCUAUAGAAGAAUAACUAAAAUGCAUAAAGGCAAGUUGAAUGUUCAAAGGGUAAGCAUGGGUCUGAUUGUUAAUAUCACUAUUAGCUCAGCUACAAAUGAGCAUCUGGAGCAAUAGCAUCUCUCUAGGUUUGAGGAGGUGAGCGGCGGUGCCUCAGCGAUCUCCUCUGCAGCAUAGGAAAUGAUGGCUGUUUCUUUCCGCUCGGAAGCAUGGCCACAAAAGCCCUCCUCUGAAAGUGCUCUUGCUGUACUGACUUUGCUUGUCAACAAUGUGGCACUCCUCAAUUAACAGACACUCCCUACAUCAGUAUUGGGUGUCCUCUGAAGGAAAACUGAAUCUUCCCCACCUCACUUUCCUCUUUAUGCCAUAACUGAGUUCCGGAAUGUGAAAGCCUACACUGCUGGAUCUGCUGUGUGGACUUGACCCUGACCAGGGAGCUCCAAAAACCGGUGAUGAUAACAUGAUGUAAUGAAAGUGAAAGGAAGGCAACUGAGAGAAUAAGAGAACGUAAACAAGAGGCAAUAGAGAACUGGAGAUCCUUAAACACUUUUAAAGAAAGAAGGCAUGUGCCCUAUCUUAACUGUUGGGAAACUUUCAGAAGAUGGGCAUAGGACUGAUAAAUGCAGCUGGCAAAAGUCUACCACAUUUGGGCUUUGUAUAGCAAGGACAUCAGAAGAACAGCACCGUCAGAAGGGAGGGUACAGUGAUUAUGGUGGAACUGCAUUAUAA